This 504-nucleotide ribosomal RNA is filed under the name uncultured bacterium. RNAcentral's name for it is "partial 16S ribosomal RNA". It matches the Rfam family "Bacterial small subunit ribosomal RNA", at positions 30 to 523 of the family's 1533-position model. The record is from RNAcentral.
AUUGAACGCUGGCGGCAGGCCUAACACAUGCAAGUCGAACGGUAGCACAGAGAGCUUGCUCUCGGGUGACGAGUGGCGGACGGGUGAGUAAUGCCUGGGAAACUGCCCGAUGGAGGGGGAUAACUACUGGAAACGGUAGCUAAUACCGCAUAACGUCUUCGGACCAAAGUGGGGGACCUUCGGGCCUCACACCAUCGGAUGUGCCCAGGUGGGAUUAGCUAGUAGGUGGGGUAAUGGCUCACCUAGGCGACGAUCCCUAGCUGGUCUGAGAGGAUGACCAGCCACACUGGAACUGAGACACGGUCCAGACUCCUACGGGAGGCAGCAGUGGGGAAUAUUGCACAAUGGGCGCAAGCCUGAUGCAGCCAUGCCGCGUGUAUGAAGAAGGCCUUCGGGUUGUAAAGUACUUUCAGCGGGGAGGAAGGCGGUGAAGUUAAUAGCUUCACCGAUUGACGUUACCCGCAGAAGAAGCACCGGCUAACUCCGUGCCAGCAGCCGCCGUAA